This 484-nucleotide ribosomal RNA is filed under the name uncultured bacterium. RNAcentral describes it as "partial 16S ribosomal RNA". It matches the Rfam family "Bacterial small subunit ribosomal RNA", at positions 28 to 507 of the family's 1533-position model. The record is from RNAcentral.
AUUGAACGCUGGCGGCAUGCUUUACACAUGCAAGUCGAACGGCAGCGCGGGCUUCGGCCUGGCGGCGAGUGGCGAACGGGUGAGUAAUGCAUCGGAACGUGCCCAGUAGUGGGGGAUAGCCCGGCGAAAGCGGGAUUAAUACCGCAUACGACCUGAGGGUGAAAGCGGGGGACCGAAAGGCCUCGCGCUAUUGGAGCGGCCGAUGUCGGAUUAGCUAGUUGGUGGGGUAAAGGCUUACCAAGGCGACGAUCCGUAGCUGGUCUGAGAGGACGACCAGCCACACUGGGACUGAGACACGGCCCAGACUCCUACGGGAGGCAGCAGUGGGGAAUUUUGGACAAUGGGGGCAACCCUGAUCCAGCCAUGCCGCGUGCGGGAAGAAGGCCUUCGGGUUGUAAACCGCUUUUGUUCGGGAAGAAAUCCUCUGGGCUAAUACCCCGGGGGGAUGACGGUACCGGAAGAAUAAGCACCGGCUAACUACGUG